UCAUGUAAACGCUCAUACUAUUAAGUUAUUGCGUGUUAAUAAAUACUUGAUGAAACCCACUUGCAUUACAGAGCAGAGUGGACACAUCCGCAAUGGCGGACACACUGACGUAUUGCAACAACGCGGCAACCCCUCAAAGGUGGAAUAUGUUUGUCUACGGUGACACAAGGAGAGAAUGUUGCUUCCGGGUUGUGACGUAUCGCUGGUAUAUAACCUUGCCGGCUAUGAAUAGUUUAGACUCUAAACUGCAGGGUGUCAUUUGUUGACUUGUGAAGUCACAACGAAGAUUUGGAAACGUGCAACUAUAUUGUCCUCGUUGGCUUUGGCAGAGACCCGUGAAUAAAGAUGUCAGGCCAAGCAUUGACCAGCAGCCCUCCUAACCUCCCUCCUUCACCGGCCAUCAAGGUCGGCCUGGAGCUACGCCAGCUGGGUGACCAGCUCUACUGGACGUGCUCCCUCUUGAGGGCCGUGACUAAGGAACACAAGACUCUGGUCAAUAACAGCGGUACCUGAUGAUGUGACAGGGGAUCCACAGAGGAUGUACAGAGGAAAUGGGCAUCAGCCUGACUGAGAGCUGGUUGGAUGAGCUACCUUGGUGGUCGAGCAUGAGAGACCCCUGAUUUGAGGCUUACCCGUAAAAUAUGAAGAUUAGCCAAAGCAGGGAUGGGUGAUCUCAGGACAUUUAUGACCUGGCGAAAGGAUUUUGAUCCGGACCACAUCAGAGGAACUGUUUAACAAAACAACACACAAAUGAUCAUCUUAUACUUGUGUUUCUUUCACAAUUUGCAAAUAAAACUUGUGUUUGUCAUCUGG
This is a long non-coding RNA of Hippocampus comes (tiger tail seahorse), 813 nucleotides long. RefSeq lists it as uncharacterized. Lineage: Eukaryota; Metazoa; Chordata; Actinopteri; Syngnathiformes; Syngnathidae. The transcript is spliced from 2 exons. The record is from RefSeq and is a predicted model, not a curated record.